Erinaceus europaeus (western European hedgehog) is the source of this 353-nucleotide non-coding RNA. The record is from Rfam. Lineage: Eukaryota; Metazoa; Chordata; Mammalia; Eulipotyphla; Erinaceidae.
GGAUGUAAGGGCGAUUUGGCCUAGACAUCUGUCACCCCUUUGAUCGCCGAGUCGAUUCAGCUGAUCUGGCUGGCUAGGCAGAUGUCCCCUUCUUCCCUUACUGUUCCAUGUGCGUCCCUCCUGAAGCUGCAUGCUUGGUAGGAGAGGUUACCUUCCCAAAGUAGAGAUGGACUAGAUCUGUCUUCUGUUGAGGGUGUAAGAGUAGCUGUGCUCUCCUGCUAGAGCUUCCAAACAAGCUCUCAAGACAGCUGCUGGAGGAAUGAUGCUGGAAGUCAGAAAGUUAGGGUCACAAAGACAGAGUUGCUUUAACAGGGGAAAAAAAAAACAAGGAAAGAGAGAGUGUGUCUUUAAUU